Molecule: long non-coding RNA, 2402 nt
Organism: Oenanthe melanoleuca
Lineage: Eukaryota; Metazoa; Chordata; Aves; Passeriformes; Muscicapidae
Exons: 9
Source: RefSeq, a predicted model, not a curated record
UCUACUCCUGUGUCUGGAAAAGCCUGUACCUUCCGUGAACCACCCAUUCAGCAGUUCCACCCAGGCACUGGAUGGAUGAGCCCUGGCACAGGGAGUAUUGGAUGGCAUCAGGCAGCCAGGGAGGCUCUGGCAGUGCAAUUCUUGCACAAAGGUCAAGAUGCCAUUAACCAAAGAAAACCCUGCUGCUGAACUGCCUCACACCACAUGGUCUCCUAAGAGAAAGUCAGCUUGCUCAUCUUUCCCUUGAGUAAAUGAAGUUAAGAACUUAUACAAAGCCCUCUCAUGGGAGGAACUCAGCAGAGCUGGUGAGCACGGAGGGAUGGGAGGACCUGGCUGAAAUCUGGGUUUCAGAGUCAUGACAAUGCUGAGCAGCUGUGUGUGUAACAGUUGCAGAUCAAAAGUACAAUUAGGCUAAUGUGGGCACCAAAACAGAGAAAAGGAUGAUCAGGAAAAUGAAAGAGGAGAAUGCAAGCAAGCAUUCAGUGACAGAAGACAAUCAUUAGCAUUGGCCAAUACCACAGGCAAAAAGAGGCCAGUGCCAUUUGGAAAGUAAUGACAUGGCCUCAGGAGAGGUCCAGCCUGGAGGAAAGCUCCUUCUCCUGCAUCCCCAAGUGUCUUCUCCUAGGGGUAGCAUUCCCAAUGGGCCUCCUUCCCAACAUGAAGUGCCUGGAGCUCCCCGAGCAGGAACACGUGUGGACAUUCUGCAUGGGGCAUUGGGAGCACCAUGAGGGAGCAGCCUGCAGCAAACCCUGACCACACCAGGCUUGGUGCACAUGCAGAUCACCUGGGCAGCCUUCCAAGAGCUUGUAUUUGCUGUGCACACACUGUGGAGCUGGUACAUAUAUCCAGAGUUGGAGUGUACAGGAGCACUGGCAAUUCUCAUCAUAGAAAAUAUGUGAACUCUGCCUGGUUAAGAUUAUUUUUCCCACACAAAGUAACAGAAGGUAACCCUAGUGGAGAAGAUGCCUUGUAUUGGAAGAUCAGAGCAUAUCACUCACCUGGGUUAAUGGUGAUGAAUUUGUUAUCUGAGGGAUACUCCUCUGGAAACCUGUCCAUCUUGGGAGGAGGUUUUCUUGUUGUCUCUGGUCUCCUUGGGACGUUGCCCAGACACUCAACACCAGCUGGAUGAAAAGCUGAGCCAGGACAGAACAUGCCACAGAGCCACCAGCAAACCAAGAAACCUCCCUGCCUUCACCACAUCAUCAUUAAAACCCUCUUUAUCCUUAUCUUCAUUUUACAUCCACCCACAUCACUACUGACUUGUGAGUAACAUUUCCUCUUGGGGUGAGAAGAAUGUAAAGGAGUUUAAUGAGUUCAGCUGCAUUACUCACAGUGCUUUAAUCCUCAGAAGACAGGAGUUUAAAAAUACAAUGUUACAUAAGGGCUGUCCCAAAAUAAUGGCUGCCAACGUGAGCAUCCAUGGCUGGUGGGUCUGCUCCGACAAGGAACUCUGGCUCUUCCCACGCACAUUGUGAGGGCCUCAAAGGACACUAUUUUUAUUUCCUUAAUUUACCCAUCAGGAUUACUAUCCUAAGGACUGGUGUUGCUGUGAGGCAUUGUACUUGUUACAAAACAGCUGCAGCAUAGCCAGCUGGGCACUCCUGAAGGAUUUGGAGAGCAUCAGGAGCCCUUCAGCAAGCCACCACCACGUCUGCCAGGACCUGCGGGCUGUGACACCCAUGUACAGACUCAGUUUUCCAUAUCCAUGGGACUCUUCCUGGCCACCACCAGAGAAGAAAGGCAGGACUGGCACUGCCUGCUCCACUGAGAGAAAUCAGGUAAUGAACUAUGGACUUUGCAUCCUCUGCACCCUGCCAAUAUUAUUCUAAUGCCAAUCCACUGCACCCAUGCAGGUCUCUGGGCACGUGUGUGCUCUGCUGUAAAUAAAACCCCUUAGUACACACAAAAAUAACCAAACCUCAGUCUAUUACAAAGAACUAGUCCUGAAUUACAUGUGGAAAAAGAGACUGAAGUGAAUUGUCUAAAGACAAGGAAUAAUUCUGUGGAAGAGCUGAGUCAGCAGUUCCUCUGGACAACCUGACCAUUCUCCUCUGAAUUACUGAAAAAUGUCUCACAUUACUGAAUUCAUCAGCAGGACCAUUAGCUGGAAAGAGCUGAAGGGAUCAAAACAGCAUUCUGCUAUCAGUGCCACAAAGUCAGAAGCCACACCACAGCUUCCCUCUGGCUCCUCCUGGUCCCCCAAAGCACAGCAUGAAGGUGGCCAGGACCUGGAUGAGAUGGGAGAGCUGAAAGCCAUCUCUGUUAUCACUAUUUACAGAGCUUCCUGAUCCUUGGUAUGCCUCUCCAUGCUCACCUCUUUCCGCUGAGAUGGUCAGAUCAAUUCUCCCUGACAUCACUGUUUAUUGAUAACUGUGCCAAUAAAUCAUAACUGCCCUCUUUGA